RNAcentral lists this ribosomal RNA (465 nucleotides) under Vreelandella stevensii. RNAcentral's name for it is "partial 16S ribosomal RNA". It matches the Rfam family "Bacterial small subunit ribosomal RNA", at positions 338 to 795 of the family's 1533-position model. Lineage: Bacteria; Pseudomonadati; Pseudomonadota; Gammaproteobacteria; Oceanospirillales; Halomonadaceae. The record is from RNAcentral.
CCUACGGGGGGCAGCAGUGGGGAAUAUUGGACAAUGGGGGCAACCCUGAUCCAGCCAUGCCGCGUGUGUGAAGAAGGCCCUCGGGUUGUAAAGCACUUUCAGUGAGGAAGAACGCCUGGUGGUUAAUACCCAGCAGGAAAGACAUCACUCACAGAAGAAGCACCGGCUAACUCCGUGCCAGCAGCCGCGGUAAUACGGAGGGUGCGAGCGUGAAUCGGAAUUACUGGGCGUAAAGCGCGCGUAGGUGGCUUGAUAAGCCGGUUGUGAAAGCCCCGGGCUCAACCUGGGAACGGCAUCCGGAACUGUCAAGCUAGAGUGCAGGAGAGGAAGGUAGAAUUCCCGGUGUAGCGGUGAAAUGCGUAGAGAUCGGGAGGAAUACCAGUGGCGAAGGCGGCCUUCUGGACUGAAACUGACACUGAGGUGCGAAAGCGUGGGUAGCAAACAGGAUUAGAUACCCGUGUAGUC